UAUUCUGCCCACAAACUGUAAUUUUCACUUCUUUUUUUUGUGUCUGCAAUGAAAGUCCCCAGUAGACAAAGCAAAUGAACCAUUUGGUGACUAAAACUGUAUCUUGCUCAAUGCAGGCAAUCUAUGGCAAAAUAUAUAGACAGCACCUUUCACAGCUGGCGAGGAAAAGUAAUAUAUUUUAUGUUUUUGGAUUUGUUUCAUAUGUAGAUGAAUGCAGAACAGGGCUCUAGAGAUAUGUGUUUUUGGGGAGGUGGAGGUGUCAUAUUCUCCUUCUACUGCAUCUGUUGUAUCUAGAAUUAAAGCCUUAAGGAAUAUGAGACCAAAAUAUAUCACACGACAUAAUAAAACAAGAAACAGGUCACUGUCCUACCAAAGAUGACUCAAUUCUAAACAGUGUUUUGUAUUUUGCCACAUUGCAUACAUCAGUAUUUUUAUUGUCUAUGUAGCUUUGACCAGACUUAUAUGAUUUCAGUUUAAAUAUCAAAAUCAAAUGAAAAUGAAUUUGUCCUUUUUUCAUAAGAUACAUUUCUAUUGAAACCCUGAAGAAUCACAAUUGCAACCAUUUGUAUACAAAUAAACCCUUCAUAAAAUGUGCAAGAAUGCACAUGUUGUUACUAUUGACAAUUUUAAAUUUAAAAUGCAAAAAAUCAACAAACUUUGAGUCAAAGUAAUGUGUGAGUAGUUAUGUGCUGCUGGAGGCUGCGAGUGACAGACUUGGUCUGCACCACCUUGUGGUCAGUGUGAAACUGCUGUUUCACUAACUAAACUGUGAAAAUCUACUCAGCUCAGUAGGUGUGACCAGCAGGUGCUGCUGCGCAGCUGUUGCUCCUCAGCGAGCAAUCAACCUAGGCUCAAAAGGAGUGAAAAACCAGAGGGAGGCCUCAGCUCGUUGUCUCACAAGGCGUGGAAAUGAUUCUGCUGGAGUUUCUGUGGACUUUAUGUCUCCUGCCGUGUUCAGAUGAACAUGGGAACUCAAGCCUCAACGCCUUGGCCGAGAGUUUCCUAUCUGGCUCCUUCCUGGACCCUGGUUUCUGGAAAUAACUUUCUAUCAGCUUCUGAGAACCAUCCAUCCGCCUGUCCAUCCUCUGACAGAUCAUCGUCCCUCCAUGGGAUCCACUGAAUGGAGUAAAGCACAGUCAAAAGAACGAGGAAAUACUUUCCCCCGCUGCUGCACCCUCCUGUCAACCUCAGCCAUUGUGGUAAAGACUUAUUCCUCCCUAACCUGGCUAAGAGUUCAUUUUCCGUAAGUCUAACCCUGAUGGACUUUAGUAUUAUUAAUCCCACCUUUACUCAAACGCUCUCUAGGCCUAUCUUCUUCUCCUUCAGUGAGAUCCCAAUCCUGCCUGUUGACCCAGUCCGGAUUCCAGAAUAAACCAACGUUUGUGAACUAAAUAAACUGUUAGA
Molecule: long non-coding RNA, 1404 nt
Organism: Girardinichthys multiradiatus
Lineage: Eukaryota; Metazoa; Chordata; Actinopteri; Cyprinodontiformes; Goodeidae
Exons: 3
Source: RefSeq, a predicted model, not a curated record